CGUCCUGGAAACGGUGAACGGAAACUUAGAAAUAAGGAGCCGCGCACAGGGAGCUCGAAGAUGCAACUCAGGCUGAUGGAGAUGAUUGUGUUUGGGCUCCUUGAUUAGUAAGUUCAAGAUGCUGGAAGUAGUGUGUGAACUGUGUUGCAGCCCAUCAAAAUGGUGUUUUCUUUCUCUUUCAUCUCUUACGAGCACAAAGAUGCUGUAUGCCUUGGAACAUGCCAUGAAUGCAUGCUGGGAGUUCCUGAAGGUGCUUAAGCCUGGACAGGUUUUCCUGGUGACCAAUGAGUGCCCUAGGGUCUGUGCUGAGGAUAAAGAACUCCAGUUCCAGAACCCCCACUGAAGACUGCAAGCAGGGGAGUCCUUGUCUGCCUCUGCGCCCAACACUUGCCCUAUUACAUGCUCCGUUUCUUCCUGCCUGUCCACACGAGCGAAUCCCCCCAGCAGCCCUCAUGUGUUUCAGCACUGUCAAAAAACCUCAAGACAGCAUCAUGGAGUUCCUUUGGAACAGAAAGUGUGACCCAGUCAGGCCUGUGCUGCUUAACCAAGCCGCUCUUUCACCAGUGCAGCAGUCCAUGCAGCGAAAGCCAUUACAUCUCUUUUCCUUCCAGCAAGAUGUUCUAUUCUAUCACCUCAUGCUUAUCCAACAAGCAACUGUCAGAGACUGAGAUCUGACAGAGAUGUGAAUCCCCAGCUUCCUGGCUGGCAGCAUUAAUGGCCAUGCUUGCAGAGUGUUUUGCUGUCUUAAUAGCAGCUGUCAUCACCACUUUGGGAAUGCAUCUCACUCUGACCAGCAGCCACAGAAGAUUAAUGUGUGUGAUCCUAGAGGAAUUGUUUCUUCUGGCUGCUGAUGUGCCACAAUUAGCACCUUCAUCUCUAAGCUGGUACUUUGUUCCUUGUUAAUAAAAUGAUUGUUGAGGAUUUCCUUCCAGAGAGUUGGGGGAGUGCCAUGUGAGAGAGGCAGUGAUGAUGAAUCUGCUGAACAGAGGCACAGCUUGGGAGUGGUGCAGAGAUUGUAUUGCUCGUGUCACCACCUCAUUACUGUUGUUGGUUUUUAUGGCACCAUAAACAUUGGGCUGCACCGUUUCCCUCCCAUCGCAGACAGUGAAACGAUGGAGCUAUCAGCACCUCCAAGGAGGCACUCAACAUCUUGCAGGAGUGAACUCGGUGCCUAUACAAAGGAUAGUGUAGAAGCAGCCAAGGAGAAGUUGGAGCACAGGCAUCCGUAGGACAAACUAGGCAUCCUCUCCUGAGGCUGAGGGGUUACAACAACAUUUCAAAAGAAAACCUCAUCUCCGAAAUGGAGACAUACAGCACUAAUGUUCUCUUGUCAUACUAUGAUUUCAAAGUGUAAGAAGUAGCCACACUCUAUGAUGUCUCCUGUUGCGAAGUAAGGAAAUAUACCAUCUUCACAGUUGUAUCUAUACCACCACUAGUGUGCAAGGCAAGUUCUGCAAUUUUUAGCAGGGAAAUUGUGCACAAGUGAAGCCUUGAAGCAUGUGGACGUUCCCAUAACUGGUUAACAGAAGAAAUUCAAGCAACUGACUCACUGACCUGCAUUCAUUUUCACUGCGGUCUUCAAACCCUAGACAGCAGGGGAGAGCCUGCUCAAAGCUGCAGUCAUUUCUGAACCGUGAGCUAUCUCCAGUGCAGCGUAGUCCUCUCACAGCUUCGUGGGGACCAUGCUCAUUUGGUCACAUAAUGCAAAAAAGCAGGAACCAUGAUACACGCUCUAGAUGCCAUUGUAAUGCUUUCAGAGCUAGCAAAGGGAGGAUGUUUCACUGGUAAUGGUGCUGGGGAAGAGUCGGUUCAUACCUAGGUUCAGCUGCAGACUUCACAGGCAUCUCCAUACCAUUUCACACCAUUAAGCUCCCUGAGACGGUGCAUUAGGACACAGAUGUUGUGUGGCUGGAUCUGGAGUGCUCCCACUGAGGGACUGCAGGAAGAUCGUAGAAAAAGUCUGAACGGGACCACAAGAAAUUGUUUAGCCAGCCACUGUGACUCAAGACUGUGUCUCCAAUACCUAAACUACUGCCUGCAGACAGCAGCGUGACCUGCCUGCUCUCAGAAGCCUGCAGCACUGGGAAAUCCACAGCUUCCCUCCACAAAUUAUUCAGCAGCUUAGCUAUUCCUGUGCACUCCCUACAGUCUCAUCAAAAUUUCCUCAGCUACACUUUAAACUUAUGACUUAUUGCCCUUAUCACAAUAGAUUCAGUAAAUAUUUUAUUCCUUUUCUUUUUGCAAUUACCUUCCACAUACUUGAGCACUGUUAUCAUGUCUUUCCUUAGCCUUUCCACUCCAGACUUAAAUAAACCAAGUCUUUUAAUCUUUCAUCACAGGCCACGUUUUCUAGAGCUCUGGUAAUUCCUCUUGCUUUUCUUUGGACUUCUUCCAACUGAUCUUCCCGUUUCUUGCUUCAAACUGAAUAGUCUGCUAGCUGGAGUGUCACGGUGUGAGCAGACUGGCAGGUGAUCUAUCAGCUCACAAAACACAGCGAGGCCAAGUAAAAUCGAAGCAGAUGAGUACAUCAUCAGCUCCUAGUUUAUCUACUAUCUGUAAUGUUUCUACUGAGUCGUAUUGUUUACUGGUAUGCCAGCUGACACCAAAGAAGCUUUGUGUUCCUUUCCACCUACAUUUUGGCCAACUGUAGUCUGAUUAAUGUUCAUAGCAAGAGGUGAGAUGGGUUCCAAGCCUGCUCUUUUUAAACCAUCCAUCAUUAUUAACCUACUAAGCCAAAUGAAAACGUUCUUUGAUGAUAGCUCCCGCCCCUGGGGAGGAAGAGGUUGGAAGAAAAGUUGGAGAGAAUGAAACAUUUCAUUAAUUACCCCAUAGCAACUCAGUGGGAGGCUGGAUAUUUUCCUAAGCUCCCAAACUGUUUUGUGCACACAUCCUCCCCCACAUUUUUUUCUACUUGGUACAUUAUUUCCAUCUCUCUGCUAAACUCUUGGUGUUGCCAGUUUCCAUGCUAAGAUCUCGCACAAACUCCCUUGCUGGUGAAAACGGGGUCAUUUCUAUGAAUCACUCAGACUGAGAGGAGUUAUCACAUGCCAAGAUGCUUGUGAUGGAUAGACUUUAAUGGAAGCUGUGACUUCACAUAUUUAUAUGUAUAGAUCAGCCUCCAGCUGUAGAAGGAUUCCCUCACCUCUAUCAGUUCAACUUGGGAUGUGAUCUCGCCACGCUUUGCUUUCUCAUGGAAUUCCUCCAAGUAAAGCCCUCAUUGCUGUGGGAAGCUUGCUUUAGCUUUAGUAGUUGCCCUCCACCAUUUCAGCUUCCAAAUCAGUCUCUUAUUGUAAAGUUUGCCUGGUGUCCACAUAAAUCAUCGUGCUCAUGGUAAAGGAUUGAAGCCAAAUCCCUCAACACCAGCAUCCCCAAUCCCUGUAACUUUUAUUGAAACUAUAUAAGUUGCCUGUAAAGUAGCAAUUUACUCCAGCAGUUACAUAUCUUUCUUAAACUUGGAUGUAACAUUGCUAUAAUAGUUCCUGCUUUACUUUAAAAGUGGCUGCAUUCAAAGAAAGGAUUUUUGCAGCCAGAGCCUGAGUAGACAAUGACAUUUUUUCUCACGUGCUUCUUUAAAGCACACACACAAAUUCCUCUUUGUGUAAUGAGCCCCCAAGCUGUGGGGAUGGUCCCGUCAAGAGCAAGUCUGAAGUUCUCUGUUCUUUGCCCUGUGUUGGCUCUGAAAUGCUGCUGGAUGUAAUGCUCUUCCCUCCACUUCUCCUUGCCAGGUUUAUCAGUCAUUUGAAAAAAAGAAAAAAGAUGCUCUUGCUUAGCAUUUUGUUUCUGUAGGAUUUCUUUUCUUCAAUGCAAUGUAAAGGAUAAGCUCUGUGUUAUUGUCUUUGGAUAUGGAAUUGCACAGUUUAAAGACCCACUCUUAAAACAAUGUAGAUUAAGGCUGGAUUGAGGCUGGACUAAGGCAAUGUUCACUUUAGGAAUGCCAAAUACUAAUAUUGGUCAUUUUUAAGACUUUAUCAGUGUGCACUUUUGGAUUAACAGUUAAUUAAAAAAAAUCCCUCUGGUGCUCUUAUUUAUUCAAAUAGUGUAUAGGCAGGAGGUGAGAUUAAAAAAUAACCCCUCCAUAAUUUUAUAUCGAGUUCCUGAUUACAGAUUGCCAGUGUGUGUCAGUUAAAUAUAAAUGCAAAAUAGUUCACUUUUUUUAAUUCUCUAAAGAUCUGAAUUGCUAAUGAUAGACAUUGCAGAGUGGAAGGAAAAAUCAUUAACUGUUUAUAUUCACAAAUUAAAAUGGUGUUUUUCCAUUCCUAAUGAAGGCUGAAAGAAAUGCCAGGCCGUGUACUUUUUUGGACUCUGUACACUGUGAGCACAUUUCCCUGGUUGGGAACCGGCUCCUGGUGAGUGCCGCGCCCACAGCUUCCAAAAAUUCCAGAUGACUACAAUUUCACCUCAUGGGACCAGGAACCAAAAUUGUACCAGAGAUCCUGGCAUUCAAAUCCAACCCUCAAUUCCCUUUACACUCAAAAAGGCAGGAACUCUCAGUUUUGUUUUUGACAUCUCUCACUCCACAUGGUAUCUAGCUUAUUAUUUGGCUCUCUGGCCUUCUUUUUCAUUCCAGAUUUUUCUGUUAUUACUAUAGCAUCUUUACUCCAUCUACUCUGUGGACAAUGCAUUAGACAAACUUUGGGAAAACAUCUCUGUUCCUCAGUGUAUUUGCU
Cygnus olor (mute swan) is the source of this 4667-nucleotide long non-coding RNA. RefSeq lists it as uncharacterized. NCBI's taxonomy places the organism in Eukaryota, Metazoa, Chordata, Aves, Anseriformes, Anatidae. The record is from RefSeq and is a predicted model, not a curated record. The transcript is spliced from 7 exons.